Molecule: long non-coding RNA, 420 nt
Organism: Lingula anatina
Lineage: Eukaryota; Metazoa; Brachiopoda; Lingulata; Lingulida; Lingulidae
Source: RefSeq, a predicted model, not a curated record
AGCUCUAUAUAUCAAGGAUUAUAUCUGUCUCUAAGAAAAAGACAUAAAAAUCUGCAGGUCACCACUUAUCCUGUAGCCCUGAAUGAUGGAUCUGCAAACCUUCCGAUAUUGUCUGAUACCGGUAAUGUUGUGUAAUUGUAUUCUGCUGAUGGGCUAUUUGUUAUCACUGAAGAACACGCGCAAUAUUACACCGCAGAGGGCAUCGAGGCUGGAUGUAAAGCCGGUUCUGGGGGUUCGGAGGUUUCCAGAUACAGAGGCUGAAGGUAUUGGAAAAAGAAAAAACGAAGUUAAAGAAACAUAUUUGAAUAAGCUUAAAACAAAAACAACUACCAAAAAAGCACCACCCAUCUCAUUCGCGAAAUUGACUCGUAGCACAGCGCCAGAUAUGACGACCAUGACGCCUGCAACCAUGGAAACCAG